This 422-nucleotide ribosomal RNA is filed under the name uncultured eukaryote. Its description in RNAcentral is "SSU rRNA". It matches the Rfam family "Eukaryotic small subunit ribosomal RNA", at positions 592 to 1018 of the family's 1831-position model. The record is from RNAcentral.
CAAUAGCGUAUAUUAAAGUUGUUGCAGUUAAAAAGCUCGUAGUUGGAUUUGUGGCUGUCACGGGCGGCCUAUCACUUAGUGUUAGUGCUUGCCUGUGUCGCCAUCCUUGGGUGGAGCCCGUGUGGCAUUAGGUUGUCGUGCGGGGGAUGCCCAUCGUUUACUGUGAGAAAAUUAGAGUGUUCAAAGCAGGCUUAUGCCGUUGAAUAUGUUAGCAUGGAAUAAUAAGAUAGGACCUCGGUACUAUUUUGUUGGUUUGCGCACCGAGGUAAUGAUUAAUAGGGACAGUUGGGGGUAUUCGUAUUCCAUUGUCAGAGGUGAAAUUCUUGGAUUUCUGGAAGACGAACUACUGCGAAAGCAUUUACCAAGGAUGUUUUCAUUAAUCAAGAACGAAAGUUAGGGGAUCGAAGACGAUUAGAUACCGU